Molecule: microRNA precursor, 157 nt
Filed under: Populus trichocarpa (black cottonwood)
Lineage: Eukaryota; Viridiplantae; Streptophyta; Magnoliopsida; Malpighiales; Salicaceae
Description: MIR2912 microRNA precursor family
Rfam family: MIR2912 microRNA precursor family
Source: Rfam by way of RNAcentral
UUUAGAACUCGAGAUAUGGGCUGAACACUGAACAAUGUCUGGGUUGCAGGAUAGAUUCAGACUUCUCCGUUGUUGCUACAAAUUUGGACUUGAAAAUGGCCUUUUUAAAUCUUGAACUCCGCAUGAAAGUUUUAGGCCUAUGUCUUAGCUUUCCAUC